AGUGCUGCAGAGCUAGAGAACUUGUUCACCAGACCCAAAAGCUGUUUCCGUGAACUGCUGCCUCCUUGUCCCAUCAAGUCUCCAGCAGCUUAUUGGAAGUCCAUGAAUGGACAGAAGACAUCUCUAGCCACUAACCCAGAAAGAUCUUCAUCUUUCAAGACUACAGUUUCCACGUGAGAGGAAAAAGUCACCAGUUGGACCCGCAUCAUCACAGGAAACCCUGGCUUUAAAGAGUUCUCUUAGAUCAAUAGUGAUAUGAAUGCAGGCAGUGGGAACCUGACCCUGAGUCACAGAAACAUCCUGUUAUCUCCAGCAACUUGAAUAAAGAAAGCAAGCUGCCCUGGGUAUCCAACAACCCACUGAGAGUCCGCUUACUUGGCAGGCUGCCUUUUUAACUGGCUGUAUCCCCAGCAAGUUCCCUUCAGUUCUGAGAAUCAACCUCCUAUUCAGCCUCUGCCCUGUAGAAGAAAGAGGUCACCUCCGGACCUCAAACCUCCAAUAGACAAAGGAAAGGAGCUGGCAGACUCAAUAUGUUUGAGUUAAACCUAAACAAGUAAGCAGGCAAACUUAAAUGUUGUGUGGAAAGUGACCAAAUCUUUGUUGCCCAAGCCAAAAUGCCAUGAAACUUCUGCCAACUUCUUCCAGGGGAUAAUGAUCAUCAGUUGGCAUCUCCCACAGACUCCACAUAUUUUUACGGGAAGAAAGAAUCAGUGGGCUUCCCUGGUCCCUACAAGUUCCAUAGCAGUGAGCUCCUUUGGCUCUAGAUGGAAUACAACAAUCCCACAGCACAAAUGAGUCUCUUCAUCUGCACUCAGAUGUGAGAAUCAAGGCUGCCUAUCAUUAAACCAAAUCACCUGUUCACUAGGUAAUCUUCACAUUUUUUCUUCUGUUGUUUAUGCUCUGGCAGAAAUUAUGUUCAGAAAAUGCAGUACUGAAACAAUGUAAGAUGUCUUUAAGUACUUUCAAGAACAUUUUUCCUCCUACCAGUAGCAAGCUCCCCACUUCCCUGCUCUUCUAAAUAAUGUAAAGCACCAGACCCACUCUUCAAAUAACCAAACUCUUUUUUCCUUCCUGCAAAUUAUGCAUAUCCUGGUGCUUUAUUACUGAGGCUGACCUAAUUAUUGAGAAUGAAGAAAUAGUUGAUUGAGCUCAAAACUCAUUCUGUAGCUUGAUUUAAUGGGAAUUAUUUUAUAUAUGUUAAGUUUUCAUAACUGAAAAGGAACAACUUGGCUUGACUGGCUGUGACAGGGAGAGAAGUCACCUCAAUUAUUUGCAGCCCCCCACUGUUGGGUACAAAUUCUAUAUGCCAAUUAUAUAGGGAGAGCAAUGUACUCAAUUGCAGGUGGUGUGCACAAGCUUAUGCCAAUGAAAAUUGUCCUAUUAAAAGCUCAUUGAAAGCUGAAAGGGCCCAGCUGCCCUCAGAUCAUCAAGCAGUAUUUUGCAAAACAAAACCCCUGUGAAGCUGUUGACAUAACCAGCAUCCCUAUCCUCUCAACUGCCUAGCAUCAUCCAGUUUGGGGAGUACACGCUUAUGCUAAGCAUGCUCAAUGCAGCACAAAAUCCUGGCUUCUGUCUCAGAAAUCUUGAGUGGUUCCCAGUCCUCCUGCUGUUGUGCUGCAGCUCCCAAAUUGCCUUGAUCAAAGGAGCUGGCUGUGUUCUGUUUCUCAAUGAAAGAUAUGUGGUGCUGGAUCGAACUUUGACAGAGAUUGCUCCUGCUCUCCCUUUCUACUUAAGAGGAUAACAUUCAGGAUCACAGUACUGAAAUC
Molecule: long non-coding RNA, 1766 nt
Organism: Gallus gallus (chicken)
Lineage: Eukaryota; Metazoa; Chordata; Aves; Galliformes; Phasianidae
Source: Ensembl